UAGUGUUACAGGUCUUUUCAAGUUUGUCUAAUAGGUUUUCUGGUUUUUGCUAGAAAGCCCCA
Macaca fascicularis (crab-eating macaque) is the source of this 62-nucleotide small nuclear RNA. Its record names the gene U7. It matches the Rfam family "U7 small nuclear RNA". From Rfam's summary of the family: Animal histone pre-mRNAs are spliced by a different mechanism than nuclear pre-mRNAs and self-splicing introns. This processing involves the U7 snRNP, which contains only one RNA species: U7. NCBI's taxonomy places the organism in Eukaryota, Metazoa, Chordata, Mammalia, Primates, Cercopithecidae. The record is from Ensembl.